RNAcentral lists this ribosomal RNA (228 nucleotides) under Clostridioides difficile. RNAcentral's name for it is "partial 23S ribosomal RNA". It matches the Rfam family "Bacterial large subunit ribosomal RNA", at positions 2497 to 2724 of the family's 2925-position model. The record is from RNAcentral. Lineage: Bacteria; Bacillati; Bacillota; Clostridia; Peptostreptococcales; Peptostreptococcaceae.
AGUCCACAGCGAGGGGGAGGUUUGGCACCUCGAUGUCGGCUCAUCACAUCCGGGGGCUGUAGUAGGUCCCAAGGGUUGGGCUGUUCGCCCAUUAAAGUGGUACGCGAGCUGGGUUCAGAACGUCGUGGGACAGUUCGGUCCCUAUCCGUCGCAGGCGUAGGAAAUUUGAGAAGACCUGUCCUUAGUACGAGAGGACCGGGAUGGACGUAGCUCUGGUGUACCAGUUGU